ACGCUCGACACCUACGGGGGCAGCAGUGGGGAAUAUUGCACAAUGGGGGAAACCCUGAUGCAGCAACGCCGCGUGAAGGAAGACGGUUUUCGGAUUGUAAACUUCUGUUCUUAGUGAAGAUAGUGACGGUAGCUAAGGAGCAAGCCACGGCUAACUACGUGCCAGCAGCCGCGGUAAUCUGAGGCGGGCUGGCAAGGC
This 198-nucleotide ribosomal RNA is filed under the name uncultured bacterium. RNAcentral's name for it is "partial 16S ribosomal RNA". It matches the Rfam family "Bacterial small subunit ribosomal RNA", at positions 328 to 539 of the family's 1533-position model. The record is from RNAcentral.